RNAcentral lists this long non-coding RNA (522 nucleotides) under Homo sapiens (human). Its description in RNAcentral is "HSALNT0338348". The record is from RNAcentral. Lineage: Eukaryota; Metazoa; Chordata; Mammalia; Primates; Hominidae.
ACCAUUGUUGACUCACUUAGGCUGAUGGCAGCUGCCUCUGCUGGGAAGGAAGCGUUUUUCCCACAACAUAUUAAAUGCGGCACUGGAGGAUGGCUGGCUGGUCCAGGGGCCGGAUCUGGCUCUGUUGCUCACAAUGAUUCUGUUUGGCAAGCGUUUUUAAAAAGCCUUGGUAAGUUCCAGAUGGUGACCACUUGCCUCAUUUAUCCUCCAUUUGAAAAAUUUCAAAAACUAUUCAUUUGUUUGCAUACCAAGGCAGUACAGAAUCUUCUACAGUGGCACUUCGAUGAAAAGAAGAAAUGCGUGAGGAUUGAAAUUGGCAACCAAUCUUUGAAAGCCUAGUAGACACCCGAUGCCUUCAACAUGUCUUAUAUGACCCUUGCCUCCAGCCUGUAAGGCUGGAGUGCAGUGGUGUGAUCUCAGCUCACUGAAACCUCCGCCUCCCGGAUUCAAGCAAUUCUCUUGCCUCAGCCUCCUGAGUAGCUGGGAUUACAGGUACCCUCUAUCAUGCCCGGGUAAUUUAAA